This 1446-nucleotide long non-coding RNA is filed under the name Cyanistes caeruleus (blue tit). RNAcentral's name for it is "lncRNA (ENSCCEG00000017099.1)". Lineage: Eukaryota; Metazoa; Chordata; Aves; Passeriformes; Paridae. The record is from RNAcentral.
GUUUGGCUAAUUGGCUCUGUCAAUCAAGUGUCACUCAGGGGCUCACGCGGCUCCUGCCCGGGUGAGGGGAGCUGGAAUCCGAGGCUUGGGAAAGCAGAAGUGACCGGAGCUUCCAAGGGGGCUGAGCGAGCUCGGGGACCCCACGAGGUGCGGGGGAAGCGGAGCUGGAGCUGGUCUCGAGCAGCGUUCUGCUGCUUGAUGCCAGGGAGUUUGGUGCCUCAGUUUCCCUACAGGGACACAGGUGGCCAGAGGGACCCCAGCGGAGCACAGCCGGUUGAAAACACAGAAAUUCAGGCCUGGAAAUCCCAUGUUUGUCCAAGCAUUGGGGUUCCAGGCUCAUUCUUUGUCCCAUGCAAGGUCCUGGGGUCACAGCAACAGGCACUUGGAAAUUAGGGACCAUCCAAGAAGGAAAGCCCCUGUUUCUCCUCUGGGUGAGCAAGCAAAGGGUUAAUCCGAGGCAGCCUUUCGGGAGGAGAUGGCAAAGGCUGGCGGAGAUCCCUUUUGUGUCACAGGAAGGAAGAGGUUAAGCCGGAGGUGCCACCUGGGAGGCAGAGCCAGGUCUGAGGAUGCUUUGCCAGCUCCUCCACCGUGUAAACAGCUUUUCCUUCCUGUGCCCAGCUCCUCUCCGUGCUGCACCCAUCACCCCGAGCACCAACCGCACAAAAAGGGGAGGAAAAAAGGAAGAAAGGAAGAAAGGAGGGAUUCUGGAGCCGCCUUUCAGCGCGGGCUCAGGGCUCUGGCAGCACAGCCGGGAGGGGACAGAUGCUGCUGCUCUGUUUGCCCGAAAACAAAGGAGCAGAAGAUUACACUUGGAUUCCCAGCUUGUUUAUGGAGAGAUCAAACCCCAAGCUGCAAUUUCCUUGUCUGGCUUUCAAGUGGCAAAAGCCUCGGGGAGAGGGGAUGCAGCCCCUCACUGCCAGGAGGGCAUGGAGCAAGCCUGGACACCCCAGGAACAACCAACCACCUGCAUGGGGUGAUUUUACACCAAACCACUGAUUGCUGCCCAGUUAUCCCACUGGGAAUCCCACCAGAGAGCCCCACCAGCAGAAUUCCCAGUGAUCGAAGGGCUCUGAACCACCUGCACCACAGCAGCCCCUGGAAAAUCCAGGACAGCCCCUCCAAGGCACACAGUCUCCUCUGGGACACCCCAGGUGCCACCAAGGUCACAGCAGGGACGUGGCACGGCAGGGACAUAGAGGAUUGAAUCUCCCACCUCCCACCUUGGGCUCCUGGCACGGCACAUCCGCCUCCCAGUGCAUCAAAGCAGGGAAAAGAAAUGAAGAUGGAGAGGAUGCAGACACCCGGCCGCCUGAGGGGUUUGGGAGGUGAGAUUUAUGAGGCUCUGUCUUGCAGAAGCUUCCAGGGGAGGGGGAAAAAAAGGAAAGAGAGGAACAAAAACCUCCUCCUUCAGGUGGCUGGAAAUCCGUCUUGCUGCUGAGAGCAAAG